UGCCGCGUGUGUGAAGAAGGUCCUUCAUGGUUGUAAAGCACUUUAAGCGAGGAGGAGGCUACUUUAGUUAAUACCUAGAGAUAGUGGACGUUACUCGCAAAAUAAGCACCGGCUAACUCUGUGCCAGCACCCGCGGUAAUACAAAGGGUGCGAGCGUUAAUCGGAUUUACUGGGCGUAAAGCGUGCGUAGGCGGCUUAUUAAUUCGGAUGUGAAAUCCCCGAGCUUAACUUGGGAAUUGCAUUCAAUACUGGUGAGCUAGAGUAUGGGAGAGGAUGGUAAAAUUCCAGGUGUAGCGGUGAAAUGCGUAAAGAUCUGGAGGAAUACCGAUGGCGAAGGCAGCCAUCUGGCCUAAUACUGACGCUGAGGUACGAAAGCAUGGGGAGCAAACAGGAUUAGAUACCCUGGUAGUCCAUGCCGUAAACGAUGUCUACUAGCCUUUGGGGCCUUUGAGGCUUUAGUGGCGCAUCUAACGCGAUAAGUACACCGCCGGGGGAGUACGGUCGCAAGACUAAAACUCAAAUGAAUUGACGGGGGCCCGCACAAGCGGUGGAGCAUGUGGUUUAAUUCGAUGCAACGCGAAGAACCUUACCUGGCCUUGACAUACUAAAAACUUUCCAGAGAUGGAUUG
Molecule: ribosomal RNA, 629 nt
Filed under: Acinetobacter baumannii
Lineage: Bacteria; Pseudomonadati; Pseudomonadota; Gammaproteobacteria; Moraxellales; Moraxellaceae
Description: bacterial SSU rRNA
Rfam family: Bacterial small subunit ribosomal RNA
Source: RNAcentral